ACAUGCAGUCGAACGAGGGUCCUUGCGGGGCCUUAGUGGCGCACGGGUGCGUAACGCGUAACCAACCUGCCCUGAACUGGGGGAUAGCCCGCCGAAAGGCGGAUUAAUACCGCAUAAACCAACAGUGUGGCAUCACAUAAUUGGUAAAGAUUUAUUGGUUCAGGAUGGGGUUGCGUAGCAUUAGCUAGUUGGCGGGGUAACGGCCCACCAAGGCGACGAUGCUUAGGGGACCUGAGAGGGUGAUCCCCCACACUGGCACUGAGAUACGGGCCAGACUCCUACGGGAGGCAGCAGUAGGGAAUAUUGGGCAAUGGACGAGAGUCUGACCCAGCCAUGCCGCGUGCCGGAUGAAGGCCUUCUGGGUUGUAAACGGCUUUUCUCAGGGAAGAAAAAGGGUAUGCGUACUCAACUGACGGUACCUGAGGAAUAAGCACCGGCUAACUCCGUGCCAGCAGCCGCGGUAAUACGGAGGGUGCAAGCGUUGUCCGGAUUUAUUGGGUUUAAAGGGUGCGUAGGCGGCCCGUUAAGUCCGGGGUGAAAGCCCACAGCUCAACUGUGGAACUGCCCUGGAUACUGGCGGGCUUGAGUCCAGACGAGGUUGGCGGAAUGGAUGGUGUAGCGGUGAAAUGCAUAGAUACCAUCCAGAACCCCGAUUGCGUAGGCAGCUGACUAGGCUGGUACUGACGCUGAGGCACGAAAGCGUGGGGAGCGAACAGGAUUAGAUACCCUGGUAGUCCACGCCGU
RNAcentral lists this ribosomal RNA (744 nucleotides) under unidentified microorganism. RNAcentral describes it as "bacterial SSU rRNA". It matches the Rfam family "Bacterial small subunit ribosomal RNA", at positions 53 to 803 of the family's 1533-position model. The record is from RNAcentral.